This 1721-nucleotide ribosomal RNA is filed under the name Campylobacter jejuni. RNAcentral's name for it is "partial 23S ribosomal RNA". It matches the Rfam family "Bacterial large subunit ribosomal RNA", at positions 1223 to 2925 of the family's 2925-position model. Lineage: Bacteria; Pseudomonadati; Campylobacterota; Epsilonproteobacteria; Campylobacterales; Campylobacteraceae. The record is from RNAcentral.
AAGUGGUAGGAGAGCGUUCUAUUUGCGUCGAAGGUAUACCGGUAAGGAGUGCUGGAGCGAAUAGAAGUGAGCAUGCAGGCAUGAGUAGCGAUAAUUAAUGUGAGAAUCAUUAACGCCGUAAACCCAAGGUUUCCUACGCGAUGCUCGUCAUCGUAGGGUUAGUCGGGUCCUAAGUCGAGUCCGAAAGGGGUAGACGAUGGCAAAUUGGUUAAUAUUCCAAUACCAACAUUAGUGUGCGAUGGAAGGACGCUUAGGGCUAAGGGGGCUAGCGGAUGGAAGUGCUAGUCUAAGGUUGUAGGAGGUUAUACAGGCAAAUCCGUAUAACAAUACUCCGAGAACUGAAAGGCUUUUUGAAGUCUUCGGAUGGAUAGAAGAACCCCUGAUGCCGUCGAGCCAAGAAAAGUUUCUAAGUUUAGCUAAUGUUGCCCGUACCGUAAACCGACACAGGUGGGUGGGAUGAGUAUUCUAAGGCGCGUGGAAGAACUCUCUUUAAGGAACUCUGCAAAAUAGCACCGUAUCUUCGGUAUAAGGUGUGCCUCCCUUUGUAUUAGAAUUCACUUCGAAAGCAAAGAAGGUUACAACAAAGAGUCCCUCCCGACUGUUUACCAAAAACACAGCACUCUGCUAACUCGUAAGAGGAUGUAUAGGGUGUGACGCCUGCCCGGUGCUCGAAGGUUAAUUGAUGGGGUUAGCAUUAGCGAAGCUCUUGAUCGAAGCCCGAGUAAACGGCGGCCGUAACUAUAACGGUCCUAAGGUAGCGAAAUUCCUUGUCGGUUAAAUACCGACCUGCAUGAAUGGCGUAACGAGAUGGGAGCUGUCUCAAAGAGGGAUCCAGUGAAAUUGUAGUGGAGGUGAAAAUUCCUCCUACCCGCGGCAAGACGGAAAGACCCCGUGGACCUUUACUACAGCUUGACACUGCUAUUUGGAUAAGAAUGUGCAGGAUAGGUGGGAGGCUUUGAGUAUAUGACGCCAGUUGUAUAUGAGCCAUUGUUGAGAUACCACUCUUUCUUAUUUGGGUAGCUAACCAGCUUGAGUUAUCCUCAAGUGGGACAAUGUCUGGUGGGUAGUUUGACUGGGGCGGUCGCCUCCCAAAUAAUAACGGAGGCUUACAAAGGUUGGCUCAGAACGGUUGGAAAUCGUUCGUAGAGUAUAAAGGUAUAAGCCAGCUUAACUGCAAGACAUACAAGUCAAGCAGAGACGAAAGUCGGUCUUAGUGAUCCGGUGGUUCUGUGUGGAAGGGCCAUCGCUCAAAGGAUAAAAGGUACCCCGGGGAUAACAGGCUGAUCUCCCCCAAGAGCUCACAUCGACGGGGAGGUUUGGCACCUCGAUGUCGGCUCAUCGCAUCCUGGGGCUGGAGCAGGUCCCAAGGGUAUGGCUGUUCGCCAUUUAAAGCGGUACGCGAGCUGGGUUCAGAACGUCGUGAGACAGUUCGGUCCCUAUCUGCCGUGGGCGUAAGAAGAUUGAAGAGAUUUGACCCUAGUACGAGAGGACCGGGUUGAACAAACCACUGGUGUAGCUGUUGUUCUGCCAAGAGCAUCGCAGCGUAGCUAAGUUUGGAAAGGAUAAACGCUGAAAGCAUCUAAGCGUGAAGCCAACUCUAAGAUGAAUCUUCUCUAAGCUCUCUAGAAGACUACUAGUUUGAUAGGCUGGGUGUGUAAUGGAUGAAAGUCCUUUAGCUGACCAGUACUAAUAGAGCGUUUGGCUUAUCUUUAAUAAAGCAU